This is a non-coding RNA of Schwartzia succinivorans DSM 10502, 84 nucleotides long. Lineage: Bacteria; Bacillati; Bacillota; Negativicutes; Selenomonadales; Selenomonadaceae. The record is from Rfam.
UUGAUAACAUCCGUUGACGGAGUUAUACAAAAACGCCUGCUCACAAUAAAACGACUGCUUGGAUCAUGUGACCGAGACAGGGUA